UAAAUUUUUAAAGUGAAAUAACUUAAAGAAUGCAAGAAUAGUGAGCAAUAUUUAUACUCAAUAUUCAUAUUAUGUUAAUGAUAUAAGUAGGAAAUCCUUGUCUACCAAAACUUUUACUUGAAUUCAGAAAGGUGCCUGUAGAAUUAACAUGUGCUAUAUCUAGCCAGCUAGCUAAUCAGGAGCUAAUGAGAAACAGUAGUUAUCUCUCCGAGUAAAAGAGGGUAAGUGUUCUUUAUCUAUUUGAAGUAAAAACUUAAUCAGGUUAACCACAAACAAAAGUCAUAAAAUUGAGUUGUACAUUGGAUUACCAAAUAUUUUAUAUGCUAGUUAUGCUGCAGGAUAUACUGUCCAGUGAACAAAAUUCUAAUAACAUUAGAAACAUUUAAAAGACCUAAAUAUACAGUAUAGGCUUAAAUAACUCUUAGGAUGUGGGUUGAGAUUCUAGAGCCACCAUAGGUGAAACAAUGCAAAACUUUGUGAUGGAAUGAUGUAAUAUCAGAUUCCUAGGUAUACCCUUCCAGUCCUACCAAUGUGAUACUUGAUGCAAAAAAAAACCCAACAACUAAUAUUAGAAAAGGGUCGCAGGACUCAAUGGUAGAAUAUUCCCUGUCAUGCACAAGACCACCCUGUAUUUAAUUCUCAGCAGAGCAAAAAAAAGGGGAUAUAAUUUCUGUGAAAAUAAGAUUUGAUUCUGGGGAUAGAAAAACAUUUCAUAAACAUAGUUACCAAGGAAGAGAUUAAUAUUUGUCAAGGAUUAAACUAAUUGUAAUUACUUUUACUUAUAUAUUUUAAAAAUAGAAAAGGAGAGAAAAUAGUUGAAUGUGCUUUCUAAGGGUUUAAUCUCUAGUAACUUAAAUCCAAAUUAAUAUUUUUAACAAAUUGUUAUGUCUUUGAAAUAGAGGGCUUAAUGUUGUAAGGCAGGUUUUCCUGUGUUCUCCAGAAAAUAAUUUGGCAAUAUAUAUUAAAGCCUUAACUACUAAUAAACUUCAGUUUAAUGACACUAUGCUCAUGGUGUCGUGUUCCAAAAAUGCGGAGUUAAUUGUGCUUGUCCUCUGCUUAACCUCUCCUUACCCUAGAAUUCAGAUACCCCUUAUCUGCCAUCCCCCACCCCCCACCCCGAAAAGCUUUGGAAAGAAGUAGUUACAUCCAAGCCUAGACUCAUGAGGCACACCCAGCACUCCAAAGUCAGGAACAAAGGUGGAAAAGCUGUUAUGUUUGUAUUUGGAAAUGUUAAACAUUCCCCCAAUGGAUUAGUCCUUUCAAGGUCUUAAUUUCCAUUAUAUCUUGGAGUUUUAGAGUCUGUUGCUUCAAAUAGAAUAUUAACUGAAAUCCCAAUGUGGGGGCAGUCUUGAAUGUUAUCUAAUUUUCUCAGUGCAAUUCCUGUAGUCCAAGGUGCUACAUAAGGUUGCUGUUGGUUUAUUUUAGCUAACCAGAAAAUCACAGGUAGACAUAGGUACAGUUUUCUGAUACUGUAAUAUGUGUACAAUUUUUAAACCUAGGUUUUAAGAAAAUUCAUUUUAGGUAGUUCCAGUAUAUGUAAUCUUUUCAGCUUGCCAUACCCCAAAAAACAAAAAUGUAAGGAGUUGGAAGAAUUAAGAAUUAAAGUCACUUUAAAUUUAAAUGAAGCUAUCUAGCAGGUUCUUUGUGGCAUGACUCAGUUCUCUUCAGAAAUCCUGUUAAAGUGACAAAGUCCAAUCUAAGGAUGCAGUUUAAGGAUAUACAAAAGCCAACUAAUAUAAUGCAGCAGGAAAUACAGUCCAGGAGAGCUUUGUGGGGCAGCUAUCUGAAAAGGUGACAUCUGUGUCUUGAAGGUUAUAACAAGCCAAUGGGAAGAGCAUUCCAAGUACAAAGAAAACAGCACUGGAAAACUCGAAGGAGGGCAUAAACAAGGCUCAUUAAAACAGCCACAAUUGCACAGGACACAGACAAUGCCUCACCUCAGCAAGAAUGAUUUAUGAUCUUAAGUAAUGGGAUAUUGUGCUCAAUUGUAGUGGCAGAUGGGAAGUAGAUUGAAGGGCUGAAACGAAUCAGAAGUAAUUUAGACUAGAUGACAGUAAUCCAGAAAAGGCAAAGUUAGUCAAUUUUGUGAAGCACGUGAAGUUUGUCUUGGGUCUAUCUGUACCAUUUUUCAAUAAAUGUUCCAUUCCCAAUAUCAGAUGCCCUGUUUUCUUGACCUGUCAAAAAAAAUUAAGAAACCUCAACUCUUGUACAUGAAAGCUUGAGUUGCCUUUUAUGUCUAAAAGUCAUGUAUCUGAAACUGAAAAGUCUUUUUUCCUGUUAAAGGAAUUACAAGAAUUUAACUAAAGGAUGGAGGAAAUCAAGAAGCCUUGGUCACUUUAUGCCUUUGUAAAUUCAGCCCUAAAAGUAAACUUUAAUCCUUUUAUAGUAACAACAAUUACCAUGAUUUCAAAAGUUUUCCUUAAAAGCUGUACCUUGCAUCCUGCAAAGGGUAAUACAAUACUGGCCCCACUGCAAGUUCCCGUCAGAAUAGUUUGUUCUCAGCUUCAGCUUUUCAUUCUUUGACAUAGGUCAAUCCAGCAACUUCUUUCUUCAGAAUAAAAUUUGCUUAUGCAAAACUGGACCUUUUCUCCCACUUCAUACCUCAAGCUUCAUAAUAAUCUCCAUUUUCUAGCAAUAGUAAUUGUUCAUUAUUUUGUGGCUUAUGUUUGUAUCUAUUUACCCUGUUUUGAAAUUCCUUAAUACAUCCCUGUCUCUCAUAUUUCUAUAAUAAGGCACAGAAUGUCUAUACCAAGAUCUGUAUACAUGCAUUCCCUUUGUACGUGGUAGGAUUAAGUGCUAUGUCACCGUUUCCCUAGUGGGGUAAAAUAGGUAUGACAUGCUAUUUUCAGAGAUUAAAAUGCUAAAGGGAAGCACUAUACAAGAAAUUAGCCAGUUUGAGGAAUUUUCCCAUAACCUAAUGUCGCAGAACCAGAUUAAGUUUACAGACUAAGCCAUAGUUACCCCCUUUGAAAGAGGGAAUGGAAAAGGUGUGCUGACUUAGAAAAAUAACAAUUUUAAAGCAAGGAAAAUGCCAUUCUUCAGCUUUCCCAUGCACAAAGUUGAUGUCUUUUCAUUUCAAUCUUUUGCAUACCUGCAGUAUUUUCGUGUAACAACUGUAAAAUACUCUUGCCCAGUACAAAAGUGUUUUCCGUAUCAUACUUCUUGCUAUCAUUGCACAGGCAAGCAACUCAUCUAUAGAUAGAUCAAACCUGAGGAAGUCCUUUCCCACUCUACAGCACUACGUAAUAUCAGGUCAGUGUCUAGUUCCAGUUUUCCUACUUUAAAAUAUACAAAUAUCUAUCACUUGAUCAAAUAGCAGAUUACACAGAAAAAUAAAAUUCUACAAAGUGGCAAAUGAAGUUUUGGAGAAAUUUGGGUUUAUUUUUUUAUUUUAUGGAAAUGUUGAAAUACAAUUCAAUUCUAUUUCAGUCUAGGUGCUGCACCCUGUACUAUGUCUGUUAGGGGACAGAAAGUUGACUGGGGUAUGAUUUGUGCCCUCCAGGAGUUCAUAGUUCAGUGUCAAAGUAAAAACUGAAGUGCCGUAUUAUUUAUUCAGAGUAAAUGUCAUAGUUUGUGGACCUCAUAUCAUUUGUUAAAUUAGAGGUUCAUGUAAAUCAACAGUGAUAUUGCCAUGUCAUGUGAAACUUUUUGCAGUUGCCCAGAGACAACUUUAAAUCACCAAAAAGCUUUAGCAUCAAAUAACAUUUGUAGAAACGGGAACUGCCAAAAAUGUUCUCUACCUUGAGCCUGUAAGGUGUCCCGUAAAAAAGAAACCAAUCUGAGAGAAGUUUACACAUUUUUUCAUACUCUUAAGUUUAUAGAUAAUGGAACUGAUUUGAAUCUAGACUAGAAUUUGUGUGUUAUAAAUUAUCUAUUGUAUCAUAAGCAACACAUUCAUCUUGACUGAUAAAAUCAGCUACCAUUCAGUGAACCAAGUUAAGAGUCACUCCGGUGCCUAAUGCCAAAAAUAAGUCUCUGAUAGAACUGAGAAAUAAAUAUUGAGUGAUGAUAAACAUGACACUUCAAUAGGGAAAGAAUUAGUCAACAAAUAGUAUUGAGAGCAUAACAUUUAGGAAAAAAUAAAUUUAGAUCUCUUACAAAAAUUAAUUCCAGCUAAAUUACCAGUGAAUCAUCUACUUUUGGAUCACAUACUCUUAGAAAUUGAAAGCUAUGAAAAUGCUUUCAUAAACAAAAGUUUUACAAUAGGUUAUGAAGAGAUGCUGAACCUUAGCAAAAUAAGGAAAACAUGAAAACCCAAGAAACCAGCAGAUCCAAUUGGCAUAUAUAUACAUUGUUGGUGAGUGCACAAGUAGGCACCACCGCUUUUAAAAGCAACUGGGUAAUAUCCAUUAAAAUUUAAAAUUCAUACACCUGUGACCCAACAAUUCCAAUUUUUAAUAUAUACCCUAAGGAAACACAUGUGAAUUCACAAGGUAGCUUGUACAAUAAUGUCAUUUGUACCUUUGCUUGUUAUAGUAUAAAAUUGGAAAAACAAAAUACUCAUCAAAAAGAUGUGAUAUACAUUAUAAAAUAUUAAGUAUCAAUGAAAACCCAUGAGUCCUACAUGUGCAGAAAUGGAACGAUGUCUAGGAUACAAUGUUUGUAAAAGGUUGGGGGGAUUGAAGGGCAAUACCUGUAAUACAUAUGAUACCAUUGAUGUUAAAAUAUGUGCCACACACAUGCACACACAAAUACUGUAUAGUAUACUUCUACAAGUACAUAUUCAUGUACCACAUAAAUAUAGAAAGAAGGUCUGGAAGAUACUAACCAAACUGUUAACAGUAGUUUGGUGGUAUGCAUUAGCUUUAAAUGUAAUGUUUGAUGUUUU
This is a long non-coding RNA of Heterocephalus glaber (naked mole-rat), 4828 nucleotides long. NCBI's taxonomy places the organism in Eukaryota, Metazoa, Chordata, Mammalia, Rodentia, Bathyergidae. The record is from Ensembl.